UACGUAGGGGGCAAGCGUUGUUCGGAAUUACUGGGCGUAAAGGGCGCGUAGGCGGCACGGCAAGCCAGGAGUGAAAGGCCUGGGCUCAACCGAGGAACUGCUUUUGAGACUGCCGAGCUAGAGUGCAGAAGGGGCAACUGGAAUUCCCAGUGUAGCGGUGAAAUGCGUAGAUAUUGGGAAGAACACCUGAGGCGAAGGCGGGUUGCUGGGCUGACACUGACGCUGAGGCGCGAAAGCCAGGGGAGCAAACGGG
RNAcentral lists this ribosomal RNA (253 nucleotides) under uncultured bacterium. RNAcentral describes it as "partial 16S ribosomal RNA". It matches the Rfam family "Bacterial small subunit ribosomal RNA", at positions 524 to 776 of the family's 1533-position model. The record is from RNAcentral.